CGGUAGCGGUGGGUGCACGAAGCCUAAGACGGUAGAGACAUCGCCGUUGGUGGAAGCGGAGACCAGUGUAGAGGUGUCGAUAAUAGAGUGCGAUGCAUUGCUAGAGAUACAAUGUGGGUACAGAGAAGGGCUGUUACUCGAUAUCAUGCAAAUGCUUCGGGAAAUUCGGAUAGAAAUCACAGCAGUUCAGUCUUCUUUGAAUAAUGGAGUGCUUAUGGCUGAACUAAGGGCUAAGGUAAAAGACAAUGCUUACCUUCUUUCCAGCAACAUU
RNAcentral lists this unclassified non-coding RNA (271 nucleotides) under Hevea brasiliensis (rubber tree). The record is from RNAcentral. Lineage: Eukaryota; Viridiplantae; Streptophyta; Magnoliopsida; Malpighiales; Euphorbiaceae.